CUUAAUUGUUGGAGUUCCCCCCUUUAGAAGAUGCUUAUCAAGAACAGCUGUCGCAGCAUGGCUUUCUCCACGAACUCAUGGUGGUCUUUGGAAGAAUGUUCAAGUUUGACAGGUUCAAGAAGGAAGCAGUGGCAUUACAGACUGGCUCUCACGAGCAGCGAUGGGAAGAUGGAAGAAUGAAGCACUAGAGAGAGGGAUGCCUAUGCCUCCUUUUCAGUGAACUUUGUUCCUGAUCCUAUUUUUUUUCUUCAAAACCACCUGCUUAUUAAAGAGAGGAAGGGAGCACAGGCAGAGAAAUAAAUACUGCGUGAGCCACCUCACCCUCGUGCCAGACAUCCAGACACAUGCCACUCAUAACACAGCAUGAGUAAUGGCUUAAUUGAAAUGUAAUAAUAUAUAUUCAUUCAAAAUGUCUUUAUCAUACUUUAGAUCGUGUUGGUGUUUCUGUUCAUACGCACUUCUCAGACUUCAUCUUCACCACUCAGGUGUACACUCUCUUCCCUAGCUACCAAACCAGUUAAUGGCUUUACUCCUAGACUCUUACCAGUACCUUCCUUUGUUCUGCUGUGCCAGUUGUAACAUUGUCCUUCAGUUAUUCAAGUUAUCCCUGACUUACUGUGAUUGAUGUAAGAAGGUACCCUCCUUGAAAUUGAGCCUUCAGUUGAUGGGAUUCAGUGGUCUAACUCUUGUUACUAUGUCUUCAGAGUUCCCUCUCAGUUGCUGUACUUCAGAAUGUGCAGCAGCAGUUACAUAUGUAAAACCUUCCUCAUGAGAUUUAUUAGAGCAAAGGUACCAUUUGUUUGCUUGUGUUCUGAGAUACACUGUAAAAGAUUAUCCAGACCUCCAGAGAUGCUGGCUGUGCUGAGAGGGAGGCUGGACAUGUGAGGAAAUGGUAUGUCCUUCAUCAGUGAGAAGCUCAUUUCUUCCUUCAUACUUACCAUGAGAUCAUUUUUCCUGAGGAACUUAGGGAACAAAAUCCCAAGUUGACUGGUGCAUUUUACCUACCAUAUUUUUUUUCCCCACAAGUUAAAAGUCUAUGAAGACACUUUAUAUAAGAGUUUAAGGCCGAGCGGUGGUGGCGCACACCUGUAAUCCUAGCACUCUGGGAGGCAGAGGCAGGCGGAUUUCUGAGUUCAAGGCCAGCCUGGUCUACAGGGUGAGUUCCAGGCAGCCAGGGAUAUACAGAGAAACCCUGUCUCGAAAAACAAACAAAAAACCAAAACCAACCAACCAACCAAACAAACAAAACCCCAAAAAAUCCAAAAAGAGUUUAAGAUAUUUCUGAAAGUACAACUUAUAUCUUUAUAAGUAAUAAGUAAUAAUUAUACGUAGUAAUUCAGUUGUGAUAAAUCAAUUCUAUUUUUAGUAAUUAAUUCAGUGUUAAUAGAUUCCUACUUCUCAUUGACUGCCACUAUGUUCAUGGUAAUGAAAUAAGAUCAGGAAGUUUUCUCAGUAAGUCAAAUUUGCUUGCUUGAUCUAGGUUUGAGUUUUACUUUAUGUUGGAUGGAAAAUAUUUAAACAGUAAUAAGGCAUUAAGUAAAACUGAUAACUGCAUUGUAUUAUUUUUCUUAAUGAAAUAUUUAUAUGAAAUAUUUUCUUUUUAAUAGAAAAUGAAUUGCAAUCAGUAGUAAAACCCUGAAAUCACCAUGGUGCUCUUGUGUCGUGGUCACAAUUGUAUGCUGUGGAGAAGUGCUUCUGUUGGGAGAGCAAGAGCUGUAUUUAUGUCUUUUACUGAGCUGGAGCCUGUUGGGGUCCAGAACAGCAUUAGCUCACUCUGUCUUUGUGCAACACAUCAGGAGUCUUCUCCUGUGCAUCUCCAUGGCCCUUUGAUUCUGCAUUUCUAUCCUUUAAAACCCUAUUCCUCUCUAUGAUCCAAGGCAAAUUUUAAUAGUUUCUGAAGCUAAAUGGUUUGGCAAAGUGCCAGGAUGUAAAGACUCACGCUAAGUCAUAGGGUUUCCAGCUGUCACACACACUGGGUGGGACUGGUCCUCUCUAGUUAUUAUCACACAAAUUCUUUCAUAUGGAUCAGUGUAAAUAAAGCAGGGGAGGAGGCUAGAACAGGAAGAUGAAAGAAGGACAAAUCAAUGAAGAGUUUGGAGAAAGUGUCAGCAAGUAUGAAAGGAAGAGGACCCCAAAGCAGUGUGUCGUCAGGAGUCAACCACUGUUGCAAAGAGCAGAGCAGCACCUCUGUUGAGAUCACUGGCUGUGGACAGCAUUGCUCUUUACUUAGAUGUCAGUUACUCCACACUCUGGGGGAACAGUAUGCUAAUGCCCUAAGACUUGGUUUACAGCCAGCAUGGUGGCACACACUUGUAAUCCCAGCACUGGGGAGGCAGAGGCAGGCGGAUUUCUGAGUUCGAGGCCACCCUGGUCUACAGAGUGAGUUCCAGGGUAGCCAGGGCUACACAGAGAAACCCUGUCUUGAAAAACAAAAAACAAAACAA
Long non-coding RNA from Apodemus sylvaticus (European woodmouse), 2444 nucleotides. RefSeq lists it as uncharacterized. The record is from RefSeq and is a predicted model, not a curated record. Lineage: Eukaryota; Metazoa; Chordata; Mammalia; Rodentia; Muridae. The transcript is spliced from 2 exons.